Long non-coding RNA from Chelonia mydas (Green sea turtle), 986 nucleotides. RefSeq lists it as uncharacterized. The record is from RefSeq and is a predicted model, not a curated record. The transcript is spliced from 3 exons. Lineage: Eukaryota; Metazoa; Chordata; Testudines; Cheloniidae.
CUAUAAAAGAACUCCCUUCAGCUUAGUCAGGGAGAUAACUAAGUAGUAGCUGUUGGCUGAGAGACUCAUUGUGGGGAAGGUACCAAAGGGAAAUGGCAGCAGCUGUUGGAACUCUCCCAGUAAAAGGAAGACUUGUAGGGUGCUCCUGGCUGAAAAAGGUUAGAAGAAGGAGGUGGCCUAUGAAAGGCUGCGGAUGAGUCCUGCAGAGGAAAGAACCUUAGGAGGGGAGGACUCUAUGGUUUGUCUGCAUGGCUAAACCACAUCAAAAUAACAGAUGGGAAACUGAGUACCCUACCAUCAGGAAUCUGCAGCCUAGAGGGCAAAUUGAGGCAUUCUGAAACCUAAUGCUGGAAAGGUCUGAGCCAGCGUAAAGUUGAUGGGAUUCAGAACCGAAUGAAAAUAAAUAACUUGCAUGGCGGAGUACACCAAACAAGGAGAUGUGACUCUAUUCCUGAAUAAAUGACUAGCAGUACCCAUGGAAAAUAUAACUUUCACCUCAGUGUGGCACUUCCAUGACAUCUCCUCGGAUAUGGUAAUGCUCAGAAACAUACUUGCAAUUUGGAUCUAGCUAUGUAUUGUCCCUCUGCUCCUGCCCUUUUAAAUCUCUGAUUGCUCAAUCUAAUGCACCGCUUUGAACAGAGCUGUUGUAUCCACUCCCUGCUUCCUAGACUCCUUGCCUCUUCCUAUGCCCACCAGUGACUAUUCUCCCAGUAAAUUCUCCAUUCUAUAUGCAUAUAGGGAUUAACUUCUCAUUUGGAAGAGCAGGAUAAUCGUCUUACUUCAUUGUAUGAGCUCAUAGUUCAGCUACAUGGAGUUGAAAUUUAGUUCUCCAAAUGUCUGGUAUGUGUCAAACAAUAUAAAAUUCUGUUAUAUGGCUGUAGAUUCUUGUUGUGCAGUUGAUUGGGUAUUCUUCCACUCUCCCAGAUUAUCCUACAUCCUAAUCUGUCAUCAGUAGUAUGGUAAAAAAUUCUGGGCAGCUCUUUCCA